Molecule: ribosomal RNA, 492 nt
Filed under: uncultured bacterium
Lineage: Bacteria
Description: partial 16S ribosomal RNA
Rfam family: Bacterial small subunit ribosomal RNA
Source: RNAcentral
AGUGAACGCUGGCGGUAGGCCUAACACAUGCAAGUCGAACGGCAGCACAGUAAGAGCUUGCUCUUACGGGUGGCGAGUGGCGGACGGGUGAGGCAUACAUCGGAAUCUACUUUUUCGUGGGGGAUAACGUAGGGAAACUUACGCUACUACCGCAUACGACCUACGGGUGAAAGCAGGGGAUCUUCGGACCUUGCGCGAUUGAAUGAGCUGAUGUCGGAUUAGCUAGUUGGCGGGGUAAAGGCCCACCAAGGCGACGAUCCGUAGCUGGUCUGAGAGGAUGAUCGGCCACACUGGAACUGAGACACGGUCCAGACUCCUACGGGAGGCAGCAGUGGGGAAUAUUGGGCAAUGGGCGAAAGCCUGACCCAGCCAUACCGCGUGAGUGAAGAAGGCCUUCGGGUUGUAAAGCCCUUUUGUUAGGAAAGAAAAGCAGCAGGUUAAUACCCCGCUGUUCUGACGGUACCCAAAGAAUAAGCACCGGCUAACUUCGUG